RNAcentral lists this ribosomal RNA (497 nucleotides) under uncultured bacterium. Its description in RNAcentral is "partial 16S ribosomal RNA". It matches the Rfam family "Bacterial small subunit ribosomal RNA", at positions 28 to 507 of the family's 1533-position model. The record is from RNAcentral.
GACGAACGCUGGCGGCGUGCUUAACACAUGCAAGUCGAACGGUGAAGCGCCUUCCUUUUUGGUGGGUGUGGAUGAGUGGCGAACGGGUGAGUAACACGUGAGUAACCUUCUCCCUCCUUCUGGAUAACCGCAUGAAAGUGUGGCUAAUACGGGAUAUUCUGGGUCUGUCGCAUGAUGGGUGUGGGACAGAUAUUGUUUCGGUGGUGGAUGGGCUCGCGGCCUAUUAGCUUGUUGGUGGGGUGAUGGCCUACCAAGGCGGCGAUGAGUAGCCGGCCUGAGAGGGGGGUGGGCGGUCACACAGGGAAUGCGAGGCGGACAAGACUCCUAGAGGCAGCAGCAGUGAAGAAUAUGGAAUGAGCGGAGGAAUGAUGAUGCAGCGCCGCGGGGGGGGUGAUGGUGGCCUGCGCGUUGAGAACUGCUAUCGCGAGAGAAGCAAGCUGUCAGCGUCUGUGCGUGGGUUGACGGUAGCUGGAUAGGAAGCGACGGCUAACUACGUG